GACGGGGGCCCGCACAAGCGGAGGAACAUGUGGUUUAAUUCGAUGAUACGCGAGGAACCUUACCCGGGCUUGAACUGCCAGCGAACGAUUCAGAGAUGAUGAGGUCCUUCGGGACGCUGGUGGAGGUGCUGCAUGGUUGUCGUCAGCUCGUGCCGUGAGGUGCCGGCUUAAGUGCCAUAACGAGCGCAACCCUUUUCUUUAGUUGCCAUCAGGUAAUGCUGGGCACUCUGGAGAUACUGCCACCGUAAGGUGUGAGGAAGGUGGGGAUGACGUCAAAUCAGCACGGCCCUUACGUCCGGGGCUACACACGUGUUACAAUGGGGGGUACAGAGAGUCGGUGCAUGGCAAUGUGCAUCUAAUCCUAAAAGCCUUCCUCAGUUCGGAUUGGGGUCUGCAACCCGACCCCAUGAAGCUGGAUUCGCUAGUAAUCGCGCAUCAGCCAUGGCGCGGUGAAUACGUUCCCGGGCCUUGUACACACCGCCCGUCAAGCCAUGAAAGCCGGGGGCGCUUGAAGUCCGUGACCGCAAGGAUCGGCCUAGAGCGAAACUGGUAAUUGGGGCUAAGUAAGUAACAAGGUAGGCGUACCGAAA
This 590-nucleotide ribosomal RNA is filed under the name uncultured bacterium. RNAcentral's name for it is "bacterial SSU rRNA". It matches the Rfam family "Bacterial small subunit ribosomal RNA", at positions 912 to 1510 of the family's 1533-position model. The record is from RNAcentral.